GUGGGGGAUAUUGCACAAUGGGGGAAACCCUGAUGCAGCGACGCCGCGUGGAGGAAGAAGGUUUUCGGAUUGUAAACUCCUGUCGUUAGGGACGAUAAUGACGGUACCUAACAAGAAAGCACCGGCUAACUACGUGCCAGCAGCCGCGGUAAAACGUAGGGUGCAAGCGUUGUCCGGAAUUACUGGGUGUAAAGGGAGCGUAGACGGCUCUGCAAGUCUGGAGUGAAAACCCGGGGCUCAACCCUGGGACUGCUUUGGAAACUGUGGAGCUUGAGUACCGGAGGGGUAAGCGGAAUUCCUAGUGUAGCGGUGAAAUGCGUAGAUAUUAGGAGGAACACCAGUGGCGAAGGCGGCUUACUGGACGGUAACUGACGUUGAGGCUCGAAAGCGUGGGGAGCAAACAGGAUUAGAAACCCUAGUAGUCC
This 425-nucleotide ribosomal RNA is filed under the name uncultured bacterium. RNAcentral describes it as "bacterial SSU rRNA". It matches the Rfam family "Bacterial small subunit ribosomal RNA", at positions 354 to 796 of the family's 1533-position model. The record is from RNAcentral.